GGAGCAGCGGCGCACGGGCGGGAGGAGCAGCACAGCAGAGCAGGGGCGGAAGGAGCAGCAGGGCAAGGGCGUCACGAGCAGCAGAGCAGAGCAGGGGCGGAAGGAGCAGCGGCGCGGGAGCGGAAGGAGCAGCCGAGCGGCGGAGGGGCGGAAGGUACUGAACAUGCCAACCUCACGGGUUAGUUGACAGAAGUGUGUGGGUAUUCCCGGUCAAACACUCAGCCUAGGGCCAGCCGCUACCAGCACUCCACUCUGAUGACUGCAGGGACGUGGUUCAUAUCCAUAAAACCAAAAGGUGACACGGAGACGUGGGCCUCCCCAUCUGGAGGUGCGGACAGAUCCCACAGUUGGGUAGAGACGCUUGGGAUGGAGGAACUGGGCCUGGUGUUAGAGCAGCUGGGGUUCUGCAAACGUCGCCACUGUCCAGGGAGAAGACGUGGAGAAAACCGAGGCCACCCGAGACUGAACCCAGGGAACGAGUACAUAACGGAGGUGCCAGGUGGAGGGCAGGCGACAGUGGAGGGUGGGGUGGUGGACGGGAAUCGGGAGGGGCAGGGUGCUCAGAGGACAUCCUUGCUUAGCGGAAGCCACAGGAUUUGCCGGGAAUAAGCGGGAAGUAAAAGCCAUACCCCCUUCUAACAGGGUGUGCGUGCUGCUGAGAGAUCAUCUGUGUCAUUCCCCAGCACAAUUUGGUAGUAAGAAUUGAAGUUGUUUUCACCUUUCACAGCAUCAAACAACACUGAAUUAUUAUGGUGACGGGGUUUCCAGAUGGUUCUAUGAGAGAUAAUGUAAUUUAACCAAAAUGGAGGCCCACUCUUCACCUUAGCUGGUGUGUGCAGAUGAGAGAAUCGCAGGCUCGGACUUGGGACUGGUCGCGGAGGAUCCUGUGGUCUACACCCGGGUUUCAGCAGCUCCUGAAGUAAAAAUGUGCUUGCGGAGAGCCCGCCUGUCUUUGGGGAAGCACAGUGGAACUCUGGAGGCUGGAUGCUGCCUGUCGCCUCAGUCACUCUCUGUGACUGAGCAAUUUGCUUAACUCCGAGGCACAGUUUUUCAUCUGCCAUGUGGGGCUAGAGUCCUCCCCCACAAAUGAAGCAAUGCACGCAGAAGUCUGCUGGCUUCAAGAGCCAAGCAACUCUUAAAUCCUCUCACUAGUAAAAACCUUUUAUAAACAAGAUAUUUUAAAACAAUUCAGUAGUUGGUCUUCACUGAAUACUAUUUAUUUCCUCAUUUAUCCAAAGGGAGAACAUGUUUUUGAAAGAUUAUAAAAGGUUGCAGUGCAGUAUUGAAAGCAAAUGGCAAGAUGAUGUCUUUUCAGGAGAUUAUAAAAUAACUUGAGCUUUUAAAAUAUAAAGUAUAGGCCUGAACCUAAAAGUAUAAUUUGGCCAGACAGAAUUGCGGGGAGUUUGCCUACUCAUCCCGCAUUUUGCAACACGAAACCAACCUCCCUCUCCAGGUUUCCUGCCCUCCCGGCCCUGUGGCCGCACCAAUCGUGCAGGCUGCCACGCCUGCCUUGCCUGGGCUGACUUCACAGCAGGAGAAUGUGCCUCCGUGUCCUCUGCAACGGGCCUCCAGGGCACAGCCUCUAGGAACACCAGGAGCUUGAGGCACAACACUUACGGGCAACUUGAAAAGCUCGCCAGUCUGACAUUGGGUGACCCCAGCGAUGUCACGGCACCCACUCUCUUCCAAGAGACCCUUGGCAAUUAAUUUUUCCAGGACUCAUCCGUCCAAAAUCAAUACAAAGCAAAAAACAAGACCUUUAACCUUAAAAUGCUGUUAAGCUUCUAUUAUCCUAAUCUCCACUCUCAGACUCCUAGAAGGCGGCCAUGUGUCUGCCCUGCCUCCUCACACCUGCUUACCCCUUACCUCACUACAGUACCUGGUGUUCACCCUGCCCUUCUAACAGUCUCUACAGCCUUGUCAAGGUGUAGUCCACUGACGGGCAGCAUCAGUGCCAUCUGGAAGCUUUUAUACAAAA
Molecule: long non-coding RNA, 1978 nt
Organism: Pongo pygmaeus (Bornean orangutan)
Lineage: Eukaryota; Metazoa; Chordata; Mammalia; Primates; Hominidae
Exons: 3
Source: RefSeq, a predicted model, not a curated record